This 332-nucleotide unclassified non-coding RNA is filed under the name Limnodrilus claparedianus. RNAcentral's name for it is "internal transcribed sapcer 1". Lineage: Eukaryota; Metazoa; Annelida; Clitellata; Tubificida; Naididae. The record is from RNAcentral.
CCGAUACCAACGUACAGGACACACGUCCUCGUACAGACACUGUGCGCUACCCGUAGCCGCAUCGACGACGCAACGUCGUCGGUCGGCGUCGCUUGUUACCGUGAGUGAAAUUGAAUACCCGUUGACGCUUCGGGGUACCUGUCGCACGUCGGCCGUCCUUGCGUGCGGUGAGCAGGCCGCGGGCUUCGGUCCGCGGUCGGCGAAGGUCCAACGAACCGUCCGCGCGCGUUCGCGCGCGCGUUCGGUCGCCCCGUCGCAUUCUCUGUCAGUCAGUCAGUUAACACGUACGGUCGCAUCUGUUACCAUGUCAGGACAACGAGAGUUACACAGAC